This 253-nucleotide ribosomal RNA is filed under the name uncultured bacterium. RNAcentral describes it as "partial 16S ribosomal RNA". It matches the Rfam family "Bacterial small subunit ribosomal RNA", at positions 524 to 776 of the family's 1533-position model. The record is from RNAcentral.
UACGUAGGGUGCUAGCGUUGUUCGGAAUCAUUGGGCGUAAAGCGCGUGUAGGUGGUUAGGUAAGUCGAAUGUGAAAUCCCUCGGCCCAACCGAGGAAGUGCAUCCGAAACUACCUAGCUAGAGGACGGUAGAGGAAGGUGGAAUUCCUAGUGUAGAGGUGAAAUUCGUAGAUAUUAGGAGGAAUACCGGUGGCGAAGGCGGCCUUCUGGGCCGUUCCUGACACUGAGACGCGAAAGCGUGGGGAGCAAACAGG